AUUGAACGCUGGCGGCAGGCCUAACACAUGCAAGUCGAGCGGAUGAAGGGGGCUUGCUCCUGGAUUCAGCGGCGGACGGGUGAGUAAUGCCUAGGAAUCUGCCUGGUAGUGGGGGAUAACGUCCGGAAACGGGCGCUAAUACCGCAUACGUCCUGAGGGAGAAAGUGGGGGAUCUUCGGACCUCACGCUAUCAGAUGAGCCUAGGUCGGAUUAGCUAGUUGGUGGGGUAAAGGCCUACCAAGGCGACGAUCCGUAACUGGUCUGAGAGGAUGAUCAGUCACACUGGAACUGAGAGACGGUCCAGACUCCUACGGGAGGCAGCAGUGGGGAAUAUUGGAAGAUGGGCGAAAGCCUGAUCAAGCCAUGCCGCGUGUGUGAAGAAGGGCUUCGGAUUGUAAAGCACUUUAAGUGGGGAGGAAGGGCAGUAAGUUAAGACCUGGCUGUUGUGACGUUACCAGCAGAAUAAGCACCGGCUAACUUCGUG
Molecule: ribosomal RNA, 484 nt
Filed under: uncultured bacterium
Lineage: Bacteria
Description: partial 16S ribosomal RNA
Rfam family: Bacterial small subunit ribosomal RNA
Source: RNAcentral